RNAcentral lists this transfer RNA (99 nucleotides) under Nostoc sp. FACHB-190. Its description in RNAcentral is "tRNA-OTHER". It matches the Rfam family "tRNA". Rfam says of the family: Transfer RNA (tRNA) molecules are approximately 80 nucleotides in length. The record is from RNAcentral. Lineage: Bacteria; Bacillati; Cyanobacteriota; Cyanophyceae; Nostocales; Nostocaceae.
CCCCUGGUAGCUCAGUUGGUAGUAGCGCCUGUCUGUUCGCGAAGCGUGUCCGGUAAGGACAAGAACAGGAGGUCGUCGGUUCGAUUCCGACCUGGGGGG